UAGGGGAAACGGGUAAAGUUGAUCAUGGCUCAGGUAAGUCGUAACAAGGUAACCGUAAAGUUUGAUCCUGGCUCAGGAAACCGUAACAAGGGAACCGGACAGAUGGAGGGGGAUAACGACUGGAAACGGCAGGUAAUACCGCAUAACGUCGCAAGACCAAAGUGGGGGACCUUCGGGCCUCAUGCCAUCAGAUGUGCCCAGAUGGGAUUAGCUAGUAGGUGGGGUAACGGCUCACCUAGGCGACGAUCCCUAGCUGGUCUGAGAGGAUGACCAGCCACACUGGAACUGAGACACGGUCCAGACUCCUACGGGAGGCAGCAGUGGGGAAUAUUGCACAAUGGGCGCAAGCCUGAUGCAGCCAUGCCGCGUGUGUGAAGAAGGCCUUCGGGUUGUAAAGCACUUUCAGCGGGGAGGAAGGCGGUGAGGUUAAUAACCUCAUCGAUUGACGUUACCCGCAGAAGAAGCACCGGCUAACUCCGUGCCAGCAGCCGCGGUAAUACGGAGGGUGCAAGCGUUAAUCGGAAUUACUGGGCGUAAAGCGCACGCAGGCGGUCUGUCAAGUCGGAUGUGAAAUCCCCGGGCUCAACCUGGGAACUGCAUUCGAAACUGGCAGGCUAGAGUCUUGUAGAGGGGGGUAGAAUUCCAGGUGUAGCGGUGAAAUGCGUAGAGAUCUGGAGGAAUACCGGUGGCGAAGGCGGACCCCUGGACAAAGACUGACGCUCAGGUGCGAAAGCGUGCGGAGCAAACAGGAUUAGAUACCCUGGGAGUCCACGCUGUAAACGAUGUCGAUUUGGAGGUUGUGCCCUUGAGGCGUGGCUUCCGGAGCUAACGCGUUAAAUCGACCGCCUGGGGAGUACGGGCGUAAGGUUAAAACUCAAAUGAAUUGACGGGGGCCCGCACAAUCGGGGGAUCAUGUGGUUUAAUUCGAUGCAACGCGAAGAACCUUACCUGGAUUGAAUCCACAUAACUUACCAUAGAUGCUUUGUGCUUCGUGGACUGUGAACUGGUGCUGCUUGGCUGUCGCACUCGUGUGUGAAUGGUGGGUUAAGUCCCGCAACUACGCAACCCUUAUCCUUUGUGCCGGCGGUAGGCCGGGACUCAAUGAAACUGCCGGUGAAAACUGGAGGAGGUGGUGAUGCUUCAGUUAUCAUGGCCC
This 1156-nucleotide ribosomal RNA is filed under the name Klebsiella pneumoniae. Its description in RNAcentral is "bacterial SSU rRNA". It matches the Rfam family "Bacterial small subunit ribosomal RNA", at positions 1 to 1201 of the family's 1533-position model. The record is from RNAcentral. Lineage: Bacteria; Pseudomonadati; Pseudomonadota; Gammaproteobacteria; Enterobacterales; Enterobacteriaceae.